RNAcentral lists this long non-coding RNA (449 nucleotides) under Homo sapiens (human). RNAcentral describes it as "HSALNT0055378". The record is from RNAcentral. Lineage: Eukaryota; Metazoa; Chordata; Mammalia; Primates; Hominidae.
UACAGUUUGUUUUCAUUUCCUUUCCAAUUUAAAAGAGUGUACUUAAUGUUCCAUCUUAGACAACAUGAUAGUCAUGAAGAUUUUGCGUGAGAAAGGCUAGAGAGUAUAGUGGGAAAAUCUCAGCUCCCCUUUGAACUCCUGGGCUCAAGUGAUCCUCCCACCAUAAUCUUCCAGGUAGCUGGGACCACAGACAGGACUUGCUCCUCCUUGCCUUCAGCCAUGAUUGCGAGGCUUCCCCAGCCACAUGGAACUUAUGCUGAGGUGGCCAAGAGCACAGGUUCAAAUCAAGACCAUGAAUUGAGCCAAGUGCAGUGGAAUGUCAACCUCAUUACAAGUCUGUUUGUAACAUCUUAUUUCAUGGCCAUGUGGCAAAUAAGUUCUUCCUGAGAUGAAUUUUGAUAAAAUACAUAAUGAUAACUUCAUGUAUUUUUAUAAGCUAUCAAAUGCAG